This 223-nucleotide long non-coding RNA is filed under the name Capsicum annuum. RNAcentral's name for it is "long non-coding RNA (CANN_LNC016078)". The record is from RNAcentral. Lineage: Eukaryota; Viridiplantae; Streptophyta; Magnoliopsida; Solanales; Solanaceae.
UAAUCUUGUAAUUUUUCCCAUAUUAUUUUCUUUAUGUCUAUAAUUUCUAUAUCUCUAAGUAUAUAUAAAACAAGUAUUUUAAUAUCAUCUGUCAUUUAAGCUUGAUUAAAUACUUUUUCAUAAUAUUUUUCAGUUGUUUGUUUUAGUCUAAGUAGUUCUUGCAUAUUUUUAUUAAGAAAUUAUAUAUAUUUUACAUCUUUAGUUUCCAUGUAUUUGUCUAAAU